GAUGAACGCUGGCGGCGUGCCUAAUACAUGCAAGUCGAGCGAAUGGAUUAAGAGCUUGCUCUUAUGAAGUUAGCGGCGGACGGGUGAGUAACACGUGGGUAACCUGCCCAUAAGACUGGGAUAGCUCCGGGAAACCGGGGCCAAUACCGGAUAACAUUUUGAACCGCAUGGUUCGAAAUUGAAAGGCGGCUUCGGCUGUCACUUAUGGAUGGACCCGCGUCGCAUUAGCUAGUUGGUGAGGUAACGGCUCACCAAGGCAACGAUGCGUAGCCGACCUGAGAGGGUGAUCGGCCACACUGGGACUGAGACACGGCCCAGACUCCGACGGGAGGCAGCAGUAGGGAAUCUUCCGCAAUGGACGAAAGUCUGACGGAGCAACGCCGCGUGAGUGAUGAAGGCUUUCGGGUCGUAAAACUCUGUUGUUAGGGAAGAACAAGUGCUAGUUGAAUAAGCUGGCACCUUGACGGUACCUAACCAGAAAGCCACGGCUAACUACGUGCCAGCCGCCGCGGUAA
RNAcentral lists this ribosomal RNA (515 nucleotides) under uncultured bacterium. Its description in RNAcentral is "partial 16S ribosomal RNA". It matches the Rfam family "Bacterial small subunit ribosomal RNA", at positions 28 to 523 of the family's 1533-position model. The record is from RNAcentral.